GCUUACCAUCACAUUUGCAAUGAAUCCAAAUGCCUUUUCCUGUAUCAAAAAGCCCCUACUUUUCUGACCUCAUCUCUUGCUACUUUCCCUAUUACUUUCUAUGUUCUGGCCACUUGAACCUCCUUCCUGGUCCUACAAUACAGCAAGAUGUUCCUACUUUAGGGACUCCACAUUCAUUACUUCUUCUGCUCUUCCCCACCACCUUUAUGACAGGCUUAGUCAUUCAGAUCUCAACUUUAAAGUCACCUCCUCACAGAAGCCUCCCUGACAACAAAAUCUAAAGU
Molecule: long non-coding RNA, 284 nt
Filed under: Homo sapiens (human)
Lineage: Eukaryota; Metazoa; Chordata; Mammalia; Primates; Hominidae
Description: non-protein coding lnc-COMMD6-5:1
Source: RNAcentral